CCUGUUAGCCUUGAGGAUUUCGCUUUAUUUAACAUGGGUAACCAAUGAAAGUCUCAAUGAAGGACUUAUUUCCAGAAGGGCUCACGACACGUGUCUCUCAC
Thalassophryne amazonica is the source of this 101-nucleotide long non-coding RNA. RefSeq lists it as uncharacterized. Lineage: Eukaryota; Metazoa; Chordata; Actinopteri; Batrachoidiformes; Batrachoididae. The transcript has 3 exons. The record is from RefSeq and is a predicted model, not a curated record.